CACAGGCCAUGCUAUCCAUCAUGUGUUACCUCACAUUGGUGUUCCCCGCUUCUUUCACUCAGAAUGCUAACUCUUCAGAGACACAGGAAAGUGCCAGUUUCAACAAAUGGUGUGAUUAUCUACAGGCAAGCCAUGCAACACCCGUUAAACAUUAAUAUAAAACUACUGCUCAUCUUUAAAGCAAUGAUUUAAAGCCAUAAAUGUAACAGGAAGAUCUAAUUCUGGAAGACAUACAAAUGCCGAAAGGAAAAUUAAAGCCACUUACCCCGAGGAAGAGAUGAAGGUGAAGAACUUUCUGGGCCUGAGUCUGUGGGAUUCAUAUAUUGACAUCUUAACCCUUAGAAGAUGGAGUCCUUAAAGAGGAACACAGAAGAAAGAAAGAAGAACUGAGACUUAAAUGAAGCUUAACUGGUACAUCUGGACUCUGAUGAGUGAGAAGUCCAAGCAAAUAGAAAAGCCACAGCCAAACGGUGAGUAAACAGGAAGACUGAACUGUU
This 497-nucleotide long non-coding RNA is filed under the name Homo sapiens (human). Its description in RNAcentral is "HSALNT0185442". Lineage: Eukaryota; Metazoa; Chordata; Mammalia; Primates; Hominidae. The record is from RNAcentral.